Molecule: ribosomal RNA, 508 nt
Filed under: Botrytis cinerea
Lineage: Eukaryota; Fungi; Ascomycota; Leotiomycetes; Helotiales; Sclerotiniaceae
Description: eukaryotic LSU rRNA
Rfam family: 5.8S ribosomal RNA (bases 144-298)
Source: RNAcentral
GUUCAUGCCCGAAAGGGUAGACCUCCCACCCUUGUGUAUUAUUACUUUGUUGCUUUGGCGAGCUGCCUUCGGGCCUUGUAUGCUCGCCAGAGAAUACCAAAACUCUUUUUAUUAAUGUCGUCUGAGUACUAUAUAAUAGUUAAAACUUUCAACAACGGAUCUCUUGGUUCUGGCAUCGAUGAAGAACGCAGCGAAAUGCCGAUAAAUAAUGGGAAUUGCAGAAUUCAGUGAAUCAUCGAAUCUUUGAACGCACAUUGCGCCCCUUGGUAUUCCGGGGGGCAUGCCUGUUCGAGCGUCAUUUCAACCCUCAAGCUUAGCUUGGUAUUGAGUCUAUGUCAGUAAUGGCAGGCUCUAAAAUCAGUGGCGGCGCCGCUGGGUCCUGAACGUAGUAAUAUCUCUCGUUACAGGUUCUCGGUGUGCUUCUGCCAAAACCCAAAUUUUUCUAUGGUUGACCUCGGAUCAGGUAGGGAUACCCGCUGAACUUAAGCAUAUCAAUAAGCGGAGGAAA